This 253-nucleotide ribosomal RNA is filed under the name uncultured bacterium. RNAcentral describes it as "partial 16S ribosomal RNA". It matches the Rfam family "Bacterial small subunit ribosomal RNA", at positions 524 to 776 of the family's 1533-position model. The record is from RNAcentral.
UACGGGGGGAGCAAGCGUUGUUCGGAAUUACUGGGCGUAAAGGGCUCGUAGGCGGCCAACUAAGUCAUACGUGAAAUCCCUCGGCUUAACCGGGGAACUGCGUCUGAUACUGGAUGGCUUGAGAUUGGGAGAGGGAUGCGGAAUUCCAGGUGUAGCGGUGAAAUGCGUAGAGAUCGGGAGGAACACCUGUGGCGAAGGCGGCCACCUGGGCCGACCCUGACGCUGAGGCGCGAAGGCGUGGGGAGCGAACGGG